RNAcentral lists this small nuclear RNA (148 nucleotides) under Myotis brandtii (Brandt's bat). RNAcentral's name for it is "U2 spliceosomal RNA". It matches the Rfam family "U2 spliceosomal RNA". From Rfam's summary of the family: U2 is a small nuclear RNA (snRNA) component of the spliceosome (involved in pre-mRNA splicing). Complementary binding between U2 snRNA (in an area lying towards the 5' end but 3' to hairpin I) and the branchpoint sequence (BPS) of the intron results the bulging out of an unpaired adenosine, on the BPS, which initiates a nucleophilic attack at the intronic 5' splice site, thus starting the first of two transesterification reactions that mediate splicing. Lineage: Eukaryota; Metazoa; Chordata; Mammalia; Chiroptera; Vespertilionidae. The record is from Rfam by way of RNAcentral.
AUCGCUUCUCGGCCUUUUGGCUAAGAUCAAGUGUAGUAUCUGUUCUUAUCAGUUUAAAAUAUUAUCUAUCUGCUGCAAAGCAAGCUGUCUAGAAUGAUAUAACUAAGGUUAUCUAUAAAAUAAUGAGGAGUUUCAAAAUAAAAUAUUU